UGAGGAAUAUUGGUCAAUGGGCGAGAGCCUGAACCAGCCAAGUCGCGUGAAGGAAGACAGUCCUAAGGAUUGUAAACUUCUUUUAUACGGGAAUAACGGGCGAUACGAGUAUUGCAUUGAAUGUACCGUAAGAAUAAGCAUCGGCUAACUCCGUGCCAGCAGCCGCGGUAAUACGGAGGAUGCGAGCGUUAUCCGGAUUUAUUGGGUUUAAAGGGUGCGUAGGUUGUUCGGUAAGUCAGCGGUGAAACCUGAGCGCUCAACGUUCAGCCUGCCGUUGAUACUGCCGGGCUUGAGUUCAGUGGCGGCAGGCGGAAUUCGUGGUGUAGCGGUGAAAUGCAUAGAUAUCACGAGGAACUCCGAUUGCGAAGGCAGCUUGCCAUACUGCGACUGACACUGAAGCACGAAGGCGUGGGUAUCAAACAGG
Molecule: ribosomal RNA, 424 nt
Filed under: Fusobacteriota bacterium
Lineage: Bacteria; Fusobacteriati; Fusobacteriota
Description: Fusobacteria bacterium partial 16S ribosomal RNA
Rfam family: Bacterial small subunit ribosomal RNA
Source: RNAcentral